AGCAGCCGCGGUAAUUCCAGCUCCAAUAGCGUAUAUUAAAGUUGCUGCAGUUAAAAAGCUCGUAGUUGAAUUUCGGGAUCAAUUAAUUGGUCGUGCCUCUGGUACGUACUGAUUUUAUUGGUUUCUCCCUUCUGACGAACCAUGAUGUCAUUAAUUUGAUGUCGUGGAGAAUCAGGACUGUUACUUUAGAAAAAAUUAGAGUAGUUUAAAGCAAGCUAACGCUUGAAUACAUUAGCAUGGAAUAAUGAAAUAGGACGUUUGAUCCUAUUUUGUUGGUUUCUAGGAUCGACGUAAUGAUUAAUAGGGAUAGUUGGGGGCAUUAGUAUUCAAUUGUCAGAGGUGAAAUUCUUGGAUUUAUUGAAGACUAACUACUGCGAAAGCAUUUGCCAAGGAUGUUUUCAUUAAUCAAGACGAAAGUUAGGGGAUCGAAGACGAUCAGAUACCGUCGUAGUCUUAACCAUAAACUAUGCC
This 471-nucleotide ribosomal RNA is filed under the name uncultured Glomus. RNAcentral's name for it is "SSU rRNA". It matches the Rfam family "Eukaryotic small subunit ribosomal RNA", at positions 569 to 1043 of the family's 1831-position model. The record is from RNAcentral. Lineage: Eukaryota; Fungi; Glomeromycota; Glomeromycetes; Glomerales; Glomeraceae.